GUGCUGGCUUCAGCGGCACAUAUGCUAAAAUUGGGGGGAACCAGAGAAGAUUAGCGUGGCCGCUGCACAAGCAUGGCAUGCAAACUCAUAAGGCAUUCUUUUAAUUU
Cebus imitator (Panamanian white-faced capuchin) is the source of this 107-nucleotide small nuclear RNA. The record is from Ensembl. Lineage: Eukaryota; Metazoa; Chordata; Mammalia; Primates; Cebidae.